UACGUAGGGGGCGAGCGUUGUCCGGAUUUACUGGGCGUAAAGAGCGUGUAGGCGGCCAAACAGGUCCGUUGUGAAAACUGGAGGCUCAACUUCCAGACGUCGACGGAAACCGUGUGGCUAGAGUCCGGAAGAGGAGAGUGGAAUUCCUGGUGUAGCGGUGAAAUGCGCAGAUAUCAGGAAGAACACCCGUGGCGAAGGCGGCUCUCUGGGACGGUACUGACGCUGAGACGCGAAAGCGUGGGGAGCGAACAGG
RNAcentral lists this ribosomal RNA (253 nucleotides) under uncultured bacterium. RNAcentral describes it as "partial 16S ribosomal RNA". It matches the Rfam family "Bacterial small subunit ribosomal RNA", at positions 524 to 776 of the family's 1533-position model. The record is from RNAcentral.